Molecule: long non-coding RNA, 614 nt
Organism: Uranotaenia lowii
Lineage: Eukaryota; Metazoa; Arthropoda; Insecta; Diptera; Culicidae
Exons: 3
Source: RefSeq, a predicted model, not a curated record
GAUAGUAUACUCAAGAGUAAUCAUCAGGUGUCGGAGUCUCCCAGAACUCGGGUCGAACUAAAUGGAACCAUCUAUUGAUCGGGUGCUCAACCACACCGCAAGACAGACAUCAGCAUCAGUUGUCGGUUAACCGUAAAGCAGGCGUGUGGUUUUUCAAGUGUGUCAACCGUUUUAUUCGAAGUUUCUUGAAACCGUUUAAUCCGGAUUGUAGAAAGUUAUUGCUUCCGGUGAUAUAUUUAUCUUUUUGCCUGACCGAUAACGCAGCUACUAGGCUGAGCUUAGAUAUUUUAUGCGGUUUAGUAAAAAAGUGUGAUCACAAGGGCCGUCGAAGUGAAUACGGGUUUGGCCGAGAAAUAAAGAGGUUAUCUGCAUGGUAUUCACUUUUUGCAUGAUGGACCCCACAAUUAUGGGCUAGGUUCCAUAACGUGGAUAUGAGAUCGACCUAUUUCUUUCCGGAGCUUGUUUUAUUUUGCAAACAAGUAUCCAGAGUGGUUAUUCUGAUGGCGCCAAAAGCCUAUCCGAACAAAAUGGAUUCCGGCUUGGAUUGCAUGCGUGCAUGCUUUAAAAGAUGGCUGUCGUCGAGAGAUACACUUUAGUUUAAGACACAACUACAC